RNAcentral lists this long non-coding RNA (2665 nucleotides) under Homo sapiens (human). RNAcentral describes it as "non-protein coding lnc-CECR2-1:2". Lineage: Eukaryota; Metazoa; Chordata; Mammalia; Primates; Hominidae. The record is from RNAcentral.
UUUGAUUCAAAACCAGUUUCUCUUUUCUGCAUAGGAAGGUCCUUGAAGGUGUUUAGGGUCUAAAAAGGGUGGUGUUCGGUCUCUGAAACAUCCAUUCAGCAGUUUGAGCUGGGAUCUCUGAAUGCAAGGGUAUGAUGGAUAUACUUCUUUCUUGCUUUUGUUGUGUUUUGGUUUUUUGUUUGUUUUUAAGUCAGGGUCUCUCUGUCACCAGGCUGUAUUACAGUGGUGCAAUCAUGGCUCACUGCAGCCUCGACCUCCCAGGCUCAAGCCAUCUUUCCACCUCAGCCUGCCAGUGGCUAGAACUACAGGCGUGCACCACUGUGCCCGGCUAAUUUGUGUGUAUAUAUUUUGUAGAAAUGGGGUUUCACCAUGUUGUCCAGGCUGGUCACGAACUCCUGGGCUCAAGCCAUCUGCCCGCCUCAUCCUCCCAAAGUGCUGGGAUUAUAGGCCUGAGCCCACCGUGCCUGGCCUUUCCUGUUUAUCUUUGAAAAUUAAAUAGGGCAUAAGAGAGAAGAAGAUGUACUUACAAUGCAGUGGGUGGUUUUAACUCUAUAGCCUUUGGGCUCUGUGGUUGGUGCUCCCCUUCCUAAAUAAAUGAGGUGUAUGCAGGGCCCUCUUCUGCCUUAGCGCCCUGCCAGCUGGGACUCCAGCAAGGCCCGGGGCACCUGAGGACAGAGUGAGAUGGAGGGCCGCUGCUCCAGCAGCCGGGCCUGCAUCCCACAAGUCAACUGUGUCGGACAGAGGAUCCUUACAAAGAAGAGGCAGCAGGGUUGGGGGCUGGCCAGCUGCUCGUCCGCCCUAGGUAGCUUGCUCAUCUGUAAAGUGGGUGGGGCAGGAGUUCCCACCUCAUGGGGUCCUGGCAAGCCUGCAGUAUCCCCGAGUGGCACCAGCCUGCUUCUGGGGCAGAGCAGUUUGUGCCCCCUGAGGUACCACUGAUCCUCUUUCCCUGCUAUUAGGUAUUGCUCUCUUCCUCCGGUGUUUGCCUUUUCAGAUUAUAGAAGUAAUAUGUGUUCCCAUAUUUGGCGUCUCUCAGGAGCUCAGGAAGUACUUGGCUGAGUGAACAUGUCCAUUGUGGAAAAAUGGCAACAAUAUGGAUUCCAUGGGUAUAUUUUAUAGAAGAAUAUGAAGAAAAGCAGCUACCCCUAAACCCAUUGCACAAGCUGUUCAUGUUAAUUCUGUACCCGACGCUUUCCCCACGGGGCCUCCCCUCACUCUGAAAUGGCAUCCAGGUCCAUCUUGCCCUCCACCUCUGCAUGGCUCUCCAUGCCCCAUCGCCUCUCCCAGAUCCUAGCACUGGGUCCACACUCUCGCCCUGUCCAUUUAGGUUGAUGAAAGCAGGCAGUCACCCGGGUGGGCCAGUCUUGCCUGUGGGAGGAACAUGCAGUCUCCUGUCUCAUGGUUUGAAGUGUGCCAGGAAGCCUGGCCCAGCCCACCUCCCCCUGGAGUCCUUCCCAGGAGGAAUAACCCCUUAGGUCAUUGACUAUAAGAUGAGUUCGCUCACUGGAUCCUUCCUCUCUGAUGAGACAGGAAGAAGGUACACAGUGACCAGGUAGGAGGAGGAGAGGGAGUAGAAAGGAGGGAUGCGGGUGGCUGGUCCCUGCAUUUGCCUGCUUCCCUGCACGGGUGUCCCACUGGCCGCCUCUGCUCACCAGUGUCAUGGGAUUCUCUCAGAAGAUGAAAACAGCCCCUGCUUUUUUGCUAGAAUGGCUGAGCUUUCAUGGAAAGGAAGCUGGACCCAAGCAACAGCCGACUACCGAAGGUUGCCUGGAGCAGUGCAGAUGUGGGAGGAAGAAGGGCCUUGGUGCACACUGGCUUUUCUUCCUGACUGCAAUGUGGCAUUGUGCCAGCUACCUCCUCUUUCUCGGCCUCAGGAAAAUGGAGAGAAAGCAGCCCUGAAGGUGGCUGUGACGAGGGAAGGGGCAGAGGGCCUGACAGUCAACCACGCGCUAUAUUUUCCUGUUCUUCCUUAGGGCAAGAACUGCAUGGCCAGACUCAGGCAAGGCCUAGGUGUGGGCUGGGCAUUGCCUACACGUGAAGAGAUCACUCCGCGUCCCUACUGCACCUGUCACAAAGUGCCUUCUGAUAUGCCUGGCAAACCAAAAUCGGUGAGCGCCAGCUUGCUUCCCUAGAAGACAUUUCUAAAUAUUCAUAACAUGCUUGCUCAAAUCAAUCACCUUAUUUUACAUCCGCUCCAGGGAGAAAUGAAGACAUGGUCCUACGUUGUUCUGUAAUUAUUUUCUAUGUAAAUUUUGUUCCUUGUUACAAUUAUAUAUGUCUUAGGGGAAAGGACCAUUUCACAUGUGUCACCUCAUGUGAUUCUCACCACAGCCCUGUGAUUGCUCCUGUUUUAUAAAUAAUGACAUAGUUCCAGUUGAUGGCCAAAGCCACAGCUAACGAGAGGCAGAGAGAGCUCAGGCUCCCAGGAGCUUCCACUCUCAGACCUUGCCUCCCGGGCUGCCCUGAGUGAAACGCCUGCUUAGCAUUUGGCACAGCCAGAAGCAGCAAGCUAGGGUCACAACACAGAGAGGGGCUGUGUAAUACUGGCUGCCUCUGUGCUAAGAAAAAAAAAAAAUCACUGUGUGUUUGUUUAUUUUGGUGCAGGCCCAGUGUUCUUGCUUAGACUUAAUACUACCCUUCAUGUUAAAAUAAAACCAAACAAAAACCC